UGUGUCUCAGGACAGGGAGGGUCUGCAGAAUCCCAGGACCUGGGAGGAGAAGCGCCUCCUGAAGGAGGCGCUGGGCAGCGGGCGCUCCCCUCCGGGGCCAACAAGGGCGAAGCUCGGGGGUCUCGACUAUUGGGAAUCCACCUCGCGAGGGAGGACUUGACUUGGCCCGGGGCCGAAGCAGAGAGACAAGAAAACUUUUCUUAUGAGCUGUUGGCAGCUGUUAACAAUUGAAGAAAGUAUACUCCUGUAAACACAUUUUGGUGCAUAUUUGUCUCUGCUUUUGAAUUAUCUGGAAUUUGGAAACUAUUUGACAUGAGACUUCACAACGUGCAAAAUGUGAGCUUUCCUAAUAACAUGGGACCUCCCUUUCUCGGAAUAAACUGUCCUAGCCAUGAGGGAUCAGAGGAAACCUAAGAACAGAGACUCCUUUUCUUCUAAAAUGCUUUCUCCAAAAAAUUUUUAAAAAGAAAAAGGCAUUAGAGGGGAGAGUUAAAAUCAUCAUUAAAAAAAACCAGGGGUAGGGGAAUGUGAAAAGUCCUGGGAGGUGGAGGUUGCAGUGAGCUGAGAUAAUGCCACUGCACACUAGCCUGGAGGAAAGACCAAAGACUCUCUCAAAACAAAAUAAAAACCUCAAAUUGAAUACAAUAUUUUAUAAACUGAAUUGGCCUUUUCCACAUAUGUUCUGGCUCCUUUGACAUACAUACUGUCUUGAGUUUUAACAAAUUUUGUCUUGUAGUUGUUGUGUAGUAUGUAAUAUUCCAGGCCAAUCUUGGAGAAGCAGGCUUGGUUAUCCCUAGCAUGAUUUCAAGGAUGUGUAGUCUGUUGUGAGAACUGGUUUUAAAUUUUACCACACUGAUUACAUUUGUAAGGUUUAUCUCCAGUAUGAAUUUGGUAAAGAUUGAAAACACACUACUGCUUAAAGUCCCUUUCAUGUUCAGCACAUUCAUAGGAUUUUUCUCCUAUAUAAAUUCUCUCACUCCAAAAGCACGAACAUUUGAUUUUUUUUUUUUGAGACAGAGUCUCACUCUGUCGCCCAGGCUGGAGGUGCGAUCUCGCCUCACUGCAAGCUCUGCCUCCUGGAUUCAUGCCAUUCUCCUGCCUCAGCCUCCCAAGUAGCUGGGACUACAGGCGCCCACCACCUCGCCCAGCUAAUUUUUCGUAUUUUUAGUAGAGACGGGGUUUCACGGUGUUAGCCAAGAUGGUCUCGAUCUCCUGACCUCAUGAUCCACCUGCCUUGGCCUCCCAAAGUGCUGGGAUUACAGGCGUGAGAUACCACGCCCGGUCGAACAUUUGAUUUUUUAAAAAGUCUUACUACAUUUGUUACAUUUGUAAGGUAGCUCUUCAGUAUGAAUACUCUGGUUUCCAUUUUGAUGUUCAGGUAAAAGCCUUACCACACACAUUACAUUUGUGUGGUUCCUCUCAAAGUUGUAUAUUUUGAUGUCUCGUGAGUUCUGAUGCCUGGGGAAAGUCUCUGGCAUAUACAUGUAGAUUUCCUAUCAGUAUAAACUCCCUUAUGUCCAGUAGUGAUUGAACUCUGGUAAAGGUUUUGCCACACUCUUUUCAUUUGUAAAGCAUCUCUGCACUAUGAAUUAUCUAUAGAUCCACAAGUUUUGAUCUUUGAAUAGAAUUCUUGCCACACAUACUGCACUUCAGUAAUUUCUCUCCAAUAUGUGUAUUCUUUUUUUUUUUUUUUUUUGGAGACAAAGUCUUGCUCUGUUGCCCAGGCUGGAGUGCAGUGGUGUGAUUUUGGCUCACUGCAACCUCCACCUCCCGGGUUCAAGCAAUUCUCCUCCCUCAGCCUCCAAAGUAGCUGGGACUAUGGGCACACGCCACCACGCCUGGCUAAUUUUUUUGUAUUUUAGUAGAGACGGGGUUUCACUCUGUUGCCCAGGCUGGUCUCAAACUCCUGAGCUCAGGUAAUCUGCCCACUUCAGCCUCCCAAAGUGUUAGGAUUAUAAGUGUGAGCCACUGCACCCGGCCUUCCAGUAUGUACAUUCUUAUGCCAAGUGAGUAGUGAACAGUACCUUAAAACUUAGCCACAUUUACUGCAUGUGUAAAUGUAUUGGGCCAUAUUUGAAUUGCUAUAAAGAAAUACCCGAGGCUGGGUAAUUUAUAAAGAAGUUUAAUUGACUCACAGUUCUGCAGGCUUUACAGGAAACAUGAUGCUGGCAUCUGCUCACCUUCUGAGGAAGCCUCAGGAAUGUUAAAAUCAUGGUGAAAGGAAAAAGGGGAGUGGGCAUGUCACAUGGCAAGAAUAGGAGCAAGAGAGAGGAAAGUUCCAUACACUUUUUGUUUUUUUUUUUUUUUUUGGAGACAAGGUCUCGCUGUCACCCAGGCUGGAGUGCACUGGCACGAUCUUGGCUCAGUGCAACCUCUGUCUCCUGGGUUCAAGUGAUCCUCAUGCUUCAGCCUCCUGAGUAGCUGGGAUUACAGGCAUGCAUCACCAUGCCUGGCUAAUGUUUCUAUUUUAGUAGAGACAACUGUUCACCACGUUGACCAGCCUGGUUUUGAACACCUGGCCACAAGUGAUCUGCCUGCUUCAACCUCCCUAAAUGCUGGGAUUACAGGCAUGACCCACCAUGCCUGACGUGCCAUACACUUUCAACCAACAAGAUCUCAGCCGGGCGCGGUGGCUCACACCUAUAAUCCUGGCACUUUGGGAGGCCGAGGCGGGCAGACCACAAGGUCAAGAAAUUGAGACCAUCCCGGCCAACAUGGUGAAACUCCGUCUCUACUAAAAAUACAAAAAUUAGCCAGGCAUGGUGGUGUGCACCUGUAGUCUCAGCUACUCAGGGAGACUGAGGCAGGAGAAUCACUUGAACCUGGGAGGCAGAGGUUGCAGUGAGCCGAGAUCACGCCACUGCAUUCCAGCCUGGCGACAGAGAGAGACUCCGUCUCAAAAAAACAAAACAAAAAAAACCACAAGAUCUCCCCAGAACUCACUAUCCCAAGAAGAGCAAAAAGCGAGUGGUGCUAAACCAUUCUUGAGAAAUCCACCCCUGUGAUCCAAUCAUCUCCCACCAGGCCCCACCUCCAAUAAGGGGGAUUAAAAUUCCACAUGAGAUUUCAGACGGAAGUGACAAAUAUACAAACUAUAUCAAUAAGUAUGAAUUAUUUGAACCCAGAAGUUAGGAGAACAUCUAAAGGCUUUUCCACGUUGAAUUUUGUUGUAAGAUUUUCUGCAGUAUGUUUUGUCUGAUGUUUAGUGAGGCCUGAGCGACUAAUGAAAGAUUUGCCACACUCAUUACAUUUAUAAGGUUUUUCUCCAGAAUGAAUUAUUUGGUGUUUGUUGAGGCAAGAAAACCGCCCAAAGGCCUUGCCACAUUCCAUACAUUUGUAUGGCUUCUCUCCAGUGUGGUUUCUUUGAUGGUACACCAGCUUUGACCUUUCAAUAAAAGCUUUACCACAUU
Symphalangus syndactylus (siamang) is the source of this 3410-nucleotide long non-coding RNA. RefSeq lists it as uncharacterized. The record is from RefSeq and is a predicted model, not a curated record. Lineage: Eukaryota; Metazoa; Chordata; Mammalia; Primates; Hylobatidae.